AGUGAACGCUGGCGGUAGGCCUAACACAUGCAAGUCGAACGGCAGCACAGUAAGAGCUUGCUCUUACGGUUGGCGAGUGGCGGACGGGUGAGGAAUACAUCGGAAUCUACUUUUUCGUGGGGGUUAACGUAGGGAAACUUACGCUAAUACCGCAUACGACCUACGGUUGAAAUCAGGGGUUCUUCGGACCUUGCGCGUUUUAUUGAGCCGAUGUCGGAUUAGCUAGUUGGCGGGGUAAAGGCCCACCAAGGCGACGAUCCGUAGCUGGUCUAAGAGGAUGAUCAGCAACACUGGAACUGAGACACGGUCCAGACUCCUACGGGAGGCAGCAGUGGGGAAUAUUGGACAAUGGGCGCAAGCCUGAUCCAGCCAUACCGCGUGGGUGAAGAAGGCCUUCGGGUUGUAAAGCCCUUUUGUUGGGAAAGAAAAGCAGCAGGUUAAUACCCCGCUGUUCUGACGGUACCCAAAGAAUAAGCACCGGCUAACUUCGUG
This 492-nucleotide ribosomal RNA is filed under the name uncultured bacterium. RNAcentral describes it as "partial 16S ribosomal RNA". It matches the Rfam family "Bacterial small subunit ribosomal RNA", at positions 29 to 507 of the family's 1533-position model. The record is from RNAcentral.